Nyctereutes procyonoides (raccoon dog) is the source of this 1013-nucleotide long non-coding RNA. RefSeq lists it as uncharacterized. The record is from RefSeq and is a predicted model, not a curated record. The transcript has 3 exons. NCBI's taxonomy places the organism in Eukaryota, Metazoa, Chordata, Mammalia, Carnivora, Canidae.
AUCACCUGGGUGGAAACCCAAGAUGUGACAUCCUAAUUCUUCCUAGCAGUCUGGUAUCAAAAACAGCUUGGCUUGGAAUAAUGUCCAGGAAAUUAUUAAUGAGAAAACACCAUUCCUAGCAGCCACAGACUAUUAAAGGUAUAUGAAAGUGGCUCAACAGUGUUUUCAAAGACCUGGAUUCCUUCUACGUUUCUGUUCCACCAACUGUAGCAUUGUUAGCUUUUCUUCCUCAUGCUCGCUGCCUUCUGGUUACAAGAUGAUGGCCAUACCUCAGGCAUCAUGGACAAGUUCAGGGGGAGAAAAAGGCAAUAGAACAAAAGCUUUAAACCACUGGGAAGAGAGCACCAAACACUGUCACCCUUAGGACAUGAAAGAAAACCUACCACAGUUGAAGGAAGAAAAUAAAAAGGAACUCUUGACUUGUGGAAGAGGUAAGGAAUGAGGGUGAGAUGGAACGUGUGCUGAGCCAGGACUACCUCUGGUGAGGCAGAAGCACAGAGAGCACCACAGUCCUGAGGCCCAGGGACACAAGACCUAUCUGAGACUGUCUACUUCAAAUGACAAGGAACACCUCUCCACUCCCCACCACUCCCCAUGACCAGGCUACCAAGCAGCAAGAGACAAAUAACGAUCAAAUAUCACUGAGAGACUUAUACAAAUGUGGAAAGAGACUCUCUGAAGCACAACUCAAAGAGAAUAUGGAAACCUGAGGAUGGAGAAGACAUUAAGAAAAAUCUUCUGACAAACUAGCUCCCACUCUAAAUACAAAGCAAUGCCACAGAAAUUUUAAGCCUGCAAUGCACUAUGGCUAACCAUGACAACAACAAACCCCAGCCCAAUUAACUAAAAGCCUAGCUAGCAGAAGGAAAGGUGUGCUCAUUCCAGGCACAAAAACAAUUUACAGACUACUCUAUGCUAUUAAGCCAUUCACCUUCUUAAAAAAAAAAGUUACAAGGCAUACCAAAAAAAAAAAAAAAGAGGAGAAAAAUUACACUAUCAACAUAAAAAGCCAA